RNAcentral lists this long non-coding RNA (44231 nucleotides) under Populus tremula. RNAcentral describes it as "long non-coding RNA (PTRE_LNC001857)". Lineage: Eukaryota; Viridiplantae; Streptophyta; Magnoliopsida; Malpighiales; Salicaceae. The record is from RNAcentral.
AACUUUGUUCAAAGAUAUCUCCAACGGUAUAAAAAAGUUCAUCAUUUCAGGAAGAUGUUAUAUUAUGCUUAAAAGAAGCUAGUAUACUGCAAGGUGAGGAAAAAAAAAACAUAGCAUAAAAUGAUAUAAUUGUAUAAAUUUUCAUUAGACUGGAAGCUGAGCUACAAAUUAAAAAUCCAUUCAAGAUCAAGAGUAAAACAGUUGAGUAUUUUCUUCUUUUCAUGUGUGUACGUUAAUGUUUUUAUGUUAAAAAGAAAAUAAUUUCACAUCAUCCACAAAAGCAUCAUCAGAUUCAGCGUCUCCAAGAAUUUAACAAGGCAUGAUAUGAGUAGUUUUGGUCUCGUAACUCACCGCACCACCAAGGCCGCCGCCAUUUUUACAGCCAAGUCUUAAAACCUUGAUCAAGUCACCACAUCCUCCUUACAUUCCCUUCCCCUACUUCACUUUGCAUAAUCAACAAGACUUUUGUCACUCCAUUGCUCCUCACCACUCUCUCCACCACCCUCUCAUCCCUAAACAGACAACACAUGCUCCACAGCACCACCACGGCAUCCUCCGUUGCCGUUUUUGAGACCUUCAUUAAUCUCUCCACUAUCGCCCCUGCGCAUGUCGGGUCAACGCUUAUCGCUGACCGUCCAUCCGCACACGUACAAAUCAUUGACAAUACCUUCAGUGACUUUUCCACGACAGAAACGGCAGCGUUUUGGCUCAACAGCAUGUUCGAUAGAACUCCAACCACUCCGAGUUGAACUAACCGAGUCUUGAUUGACCGAGUUAUAGACACCGAAAUCAAAAAACAGGACCACUUCGUUUAAAUCCUGAUGGUCGUUUUCAAUUUUGAGAAGUUGUAAUAGAACCGGCAAGACGUCCUGUGUACCUGCAACGAGCUGUUUUGAUUGGUUGUUUAUUGUAAUUGACUCCAAAACGGUGACGCAUGCGAUAUCGUACUCCAAACUUCCGUUUCGCAAAACAGAAAUAAAGGAAGGCAGGCAAUUCGAAUUUGAUGUGAAGACUAAUUCGUGCAAUUUCUCAUUGACUCCAUUUUCAAGCAAAACUGAACUUAAAACCCUGAUAACCGACUCCAGAACACGAAUUGGCACGCAAUUUGUGUUCAAAACACCCACGAUCGCCUCCAAAAAACCAUCAAAGCUGACCAAAAACCUUCGGCUGACCUCUCCACAACUAACAAACUCUACAAUCGAAUCCAAACACCUCUCUAUCUUUCCGCUCUUAAUUUCUUCAAUCCAAGCCCUAACUUUCUCUUCGGAAACUGCCGGAGCGAGAGCAGAGGAUUUGGUGGCGCUGUGGUGGUCCAGAGGUUGAUGAGGCGGUGGAGAGUGAGGUUAGGAACAAAUUCCUUGGAGGAGAGGAUUUGCAUGGUGGCGGGACAGGUGUCGUGACCGGAGUCGAGCCAAUGUUGAAUACUGGAGCGAUCGUAUGUGACGCCGGUGGAGAGACUUACGGGAGACUUCAUUACGUCGAGAGAGAUCGGACAGCGAAAGAGGCUGGGUACAGUUAUGCAGAGUUCGUCUCUCCCCAUUCUUCUGAGGAAAAAAAAAAACAGAGAGGGAGGCAAAGGUUGGGGACAGUAGACGGAGGGGUUUUGUAGGGGAAGGAACGAGUCAAAGUGUAACGUCGUAUUUUUUUCUUAGUCAAAUUUUCAAUUUGUUUUUAUAUUUUUAAUAAAAGGGAUGAGCUGGAAUUGAACUGUGCGCGAUCCAAUUAUUUAAAAAAAACAAUUUAAUUUUUAUUUUAAAAAUAAAAAAAAAUAUUAUUUUAAUAUAUUUAUUUAAAAAAAAAAACCUCUGUCCCUAUCCCAGCAUCUUUUAAAAUUAGCAUGCACCGCGUAACCGGUGGAACUCUUCUCCCUUUGGUGGUCCCCCUACCCCCCUUCAAGGUAUUUUCUACCCUCUUUUCUUUAUUUAUUUUCCUUACAAGUCGGGCAUAAUUUUAUUUUUAUUCAAAAGUAUCUUCAAUGUUUGAAAGAUUGCUUGGACAUGGCAGAAUAGAAUAACUUGGUCAAGUUUCACUUAGUUUUUCUAUUAAAAAAAUAAAUCAUCUUAAAGAUAUUGAAGUGUGAAUCGGUUCACUUAUUUUUAAUAAAUAAAAAUACAAAGAUGAAUCUCUUCUUUCAAGAGAAAUAAUCCCACCCACCAGAAGAAAACACGGUGAGAGAUAUAUGAACAUUUUUCUGGUCUAUGAGAGCGUCUGUCACGAAAUAAACGAAAGUCAAAUUGUGUUACAUAUGUACGACUACUCAAGAUUGCUUAUUUCACGAUUAGGUGUGGGGCAGGGCCACGUAGACUUUUUGAACCUUCCAUUAGUCCAGUUUGGAGUCCAAUUUGGUGUUCCCUUAGCGUUGGGUUUUAAUUUAUUAUUAUAUUUUUUUAGGUACAAAUAUGUAUUAAUUAUUAUUUUAAUUUUUAAUAAUUUAUUUUUUUUAGUUUUACGUGGGUGUCCGGGUCAGCUUGCACGCACCUCGACUAAUCCUACGGGCCCUGAAGUUAACGACCAUGUAAGCUCAGUGGCCAUCAUAUGAGCAACAAGACUCGAACCUAGACCACAUAGAAACAAAUCUCUUGGUCCCAAACUUUAUCAUUAGGCCAACCUAGAUCGUUAUUUUUUUUAAUAAUUAUUAGUACUAUGAGUAGGUGAGUUUCUUGUACGUGAAGAUUUUGAACGCAAGAGGAUUCAACUCAAAAGAAGAAAUUUAAUGCAGAAAAGAGGUGUGUUUGAAACUUUGAAUAUAAUGCCUUCCGUUAGACAAGAAAACGCAUUCACUCGCGUGCUUUCCUUACUGUUGACCGAUUACCUAACUUGUUUUGUUUACAUGUGAUUUUCUCCGAUGAUCCAAUCUCAAAUCCUUGGUUGGGUUUUCUUCCUUCUCUCUUGAGAUUCUCUCCCGUAUGAACUAAGGAAAAAUAGACAAAUGCUUGAGGCAUUUUAGGUCCUACUGGCGACUAAUUAUAAAAAUCCAACUUUAGCUUAUUUUCAAAUCUGUGUGGCAACAUAUACAAAAGAGAAAGAGUGAGAAGAUGGCAGCUUGAACCAUUUAUGUUCAAGUUUUGAUAGCUAACUAAUUUAAUAUUGGGUCAAGUUAAAUUUUUAUGGAAGUUGAAUUUUUAACUUAACUGAAACAAACACUUAUAUACCUAUUAUUUUUAAUUAUAUAUAGUCGAAGUUUUUAAUUGGAUUACAGUCUUGUGAUUUUUUUUUAUAUCAAGAUUUUUCACAUAAAAAUCUUAGAAUUGAUUUAUUAUGAUGGCUUGCCUUUUUUAUUUUUAUUUUUGAUUGGUUUGCACAAUGAGAGAAAAGAGUUGGGACUUGUGAAUUGUAAAAUUGUAAAAUUGUUUAUAUUGAUGCAUUUUCCCAAUAAAAUGGUAUCAAUGCUUGAUUGAUUGUGUAGAUUAUUAUUGUGUGUGUGUGUAUGAAUAUUCAUGUAGAGAAAUAAGAAAGCAAUCACAAUAAAUUCUUGUAGAAAAAUGAUUCAUGGUCUUGAUCCACAAGAAAAAUAAUUUAUCUUACAAAGAAAAUACUUUAAAAAGUCAGAUACUAAUCACAUAUCUCUAGAUUAAUUAAAUAAUUCUAAUAUCAUAAAUAUUAUAAAGAAAGCUCUUGCAUCAAUGUUUAGGUUAUUUCAUAUUUUUUUUAAAAAAAAUAAACAAUAUAGUCUGGUGUGAAAAAAUACAAUUAAAGACUAUAAACACUAUAAACAAGCCAUUACAUCAUACUUCUUUUUAAUCUGUAAUGUUGUCUUUAGAUGGAAAUCAAAUCCUGUAACGGAAUCCAUUUGUUUUAAUCAUUCCACUUAAUUUGUUUUAGCUAGUUUGGCAUGUUUAAAAGUGUGGUGGUUUUUACUGUUGUGAUUUGUAAAAAAUUAGUUUAAUGAAAUUACUUUUAGUUACGGUGUGUUUAUUAAAAUAUACAUUUAAUUUAAACUGUGGUUAAAAUUAUUAAUGACUAAAAAACAGUUAUUCUAGACCAUAUGCAUCCUCUCCAAAGUCCAAUUCCAAGCUCUCAAGUCUCAACCUCCUAAAAAUCUAAAACUUCCUUACGCUUAGGCCCAAUAUGCUUUAAGGUCAUAUCUCCCUUCCCUUUAGGCUCCCCUUUCCAACAAUAAAUGUCGGGUUAUAUAAGCACCGAUUUUGAGUUUUAAGAAUAGAUAGAAAGCUAGACUGCCCACAGUUUAUACGAAAACAAGGAAAAGAGCUAGCUUGCCCAGGCCACACAUGAAAUGGAUAUGACAUGGCAAUGCGCAAACGGCCCAUCCAUUUCCUGAGCUCAACAUUACAAGUCAAUGAAGAAACGACGUGAAGAAAUUAGCAAAGUUAUGUCUUUUAUAAGAAGGAAUUGGCAAAGUUAAAUGUCCACAAAAGUUGUGAUUUUUAAUCCUAAUCUUGUGAGUUGUUAAUCCUCGAGCAGCAGGUGUUGAAUUGGCACUGAAAAAACAGGCUCUCCAACCCUAAAUGGAGUUUUAGAUGACACAUAUUAUUGCUAGACUGCGAGUCUAUGGAUAUAGACAUGACGACAAUGUUUCGCAUCAUCGCGAAAUUUGAGGAGGAUAACUUGGACGGACAACUGUGAAAUCGAUAAAAGCACAUAUCAACUUCGAAAAGCCUCGAUUCUACUCGCAUAUUAUUAUUAUAAUAACUUCAAAACUAUUGGUGGCUUCACUUUCGUUAUCAAAGGGUAAAUAAAUUGUUUUUGUUUACUUAAUUCAAGAGGAAAAGGUCUGUUUUUUCUCAAAUCUCAGAAGAAAUUCGAGAUUUGAGUCUAAACUUCUAGCCAAAAAUUGCACGAGAGAAGAAAGAAGAGAAGGGAUGUUCGCCUACCUAGCCUACUCCUUCCUCUAAAAUAUUUUAUCAAUGGAGGAAUAAUAUCAUUUUUUUUAAUUAGAAAAAAAAACGAUUUUGAUCUAGGAUGUGAUAACUUUAAUUCAUCGAAGGAAAACCCCAACCUUAUCUAGUGUUCAGAAAUGACUCCACAUGCAGAGACUAGUCACUUGAACAUUCAAUCGAGAGAAAACCCACAAGCUCCACAAGAAUGCUAGUCACUUCUGUCCCUCGAUCUUAAAAUCGGCCUCUUCGACUCAGCCUCUCUCUUUUUAGCGCACCAAUUUAUUAACCCUAUUUAUUGAGCAUCCGUACCCUCCCUGUUACAGCAAUUGAGAUAAAAUUAAGAACAAUCCAAUAAAGUUACUAAAAAAAAAAAGUGGAAUAUCAAUGAAAGAGAGCUAAAGAUCUGGUGUUGCUCACGCCUCCGAUAGUGCGGAUUGGGAGACACUCCUUUUAAUUAGGGGAAAGGGAGUGUGUUGUGAAAGAGGAGAUGACACCAUGUACUCGAAAGGUCUUUAAAGGGUCCUAAGCGGAUUAGCAAAGGGACAAAUUUCCCUGAGGAACCUGACACAACAGUUCAAGCCUGUAGUCGGCCAUCAAGUAUGGUAUGGACCCAUGUAGACACCUAACCAUGCUACACGGCUCCCUCUUUUUCUCCAAAUCUUUUCUCCUUUUUCUUCCAUUUUGUAAAUAUACUUUUGGCCUUGAUGUCUCAUGAGUACAGGUUCACUCAAGACACUCUUCCUAGAGACCCGUUCAAUCCACGGGUCUCUCGGUACAAAUUUAAUGCGCAGACUAUUUGGUAGGGCAAUUAAUUAAUUUUACUUGGUCUUGUACAUUAAUUAGUCAUCGCAUGUUAUUAAUUUCCAAAAAAAAAAACACAAUAAACAGAACACAACCCAAUAUAGGUCAAUGUAAAAGCACAUGCCGGCCCAGCAUUUACUUCCCCAUGUUUCCACAUUUCCUCCUUGUUCGAAUUUUGUUUAGCACUUCAUCCAUGCAUUUCCUUUGCAAACAAGCCACCUCCAAUACCACCAUCAUACCGAACUCACUAUUUAUUACCGGUUUGUGUGUGUGUGUGUGUGUCUGUGUGUGUGUCUGUGUCUGUAUAUACAUAUCCUAUGCAUGAGUUUUUGUAGCUAUCAGUCAUUUCCUUUGUAAACCUUCUGGCUUACUACACCCUCCCUCUCCUGUCGGACUCUCUCUCUCUCUCUCUCUCUCUCUCCCCCUCCCUCCUUAUACAGUCUUCGUUUGUUUUUGGGUUGCUUAUAUGGGGAGGAGUCAUCUGGUUCUAGUUCUAUGGUUACUCUUGCUCGCACCAUUUGUUAGUCAUACUUAUGGCUCGAGGCAGACUAAGAUUUUCAAGAUGAUUGAACCGAAUUCUCAGAAUUCUUCACCGGGUACUUUCUCGGGGUUCUUCCCGAAGGGAAUGCCGAUCCCCCCAUCUGGUCCUUCGAAGAAGCACAAUGACAUCGGUUUGCGAAGUUCCGAGCCAUUGCCAUGAAUAAGAGUCCACGACUCGAGUGAUUAAUUACUUGUGUCUUUCAAUUGUUUCACCACUCAUAGAAGCAGGGUAUGUGUAUCACUAGAUGGGGACUGGCUAUUAGGUUAUUUGUUCAACUUCUUGGCAUUUCUCUUCUUUUUGCUCCAUCUCAUGAGAGAACUUUUUAUUUUUGUUAAAGAUCUCAUGAUCAUGAGGAAGCAAAGGUUAGUUACUCAAGCUUACAGAGAAACAUCGUCUAGUAUGGACUUUCCUUCUCUUGAAGGAUAUUCUAAGAUAGUUUUAGCAUUUGCUUAUCUCGUUCCUGGUUGGAAUAGAAUGACAGAGACAAAACUGAAAGGAAAAUAUUUUUUUUGUAAACACAUCUAUAAAUAUUUGUAACAAACUUGCAGUAUUCUUUUCGUCCUGCCUGCCUGCCUAUAUAGUUUCUUAUCUCGCCAAGUCUAGAAUUGCUGAGGCAUUCUUGGAUUUUAGACCUUUUUGAAUUUCAUUAUUUUGUUACUUCAUCAUUCGUGACAUGUAAUUGUUCUUCCGAUAUACAUGAUCCAACCCUUUUUACAAAGUCGAUGCUGCUGUUAUUCUACUCGUACUGCAUAAUUAAUGGGCUCGGCGGAUUCUCAUGAUUAAUCUCUUAGCUUUGCUGACCUGAACUGUGAAUGCGUGCAAGAAAUAAACAGUUGAUCAAAGUGACCUUACACACUCAUGAGCUAUGCAAAGGAGGGACAAUGGCGGUACCAUGUUCCUUUCCUUUUGAUUGAUCUGAUAUAACAUUUAGUACUCGAUUGGGUGUUGGUGGUGGUAUUUAUGGUUGUUUUUUAUAAAAUUUUAUUUUUAAAAAAUUAAUAUAUUUUAGUAUUUUUAGUUAAUAUUAAAAUAAAUUUUAAAAAAUAAAAAAAUAUUAUUUAAAUAUAAGUUAUACCAUAACGCCAUGGUUUAUAUUUGUAAGGUAUGGUGGUGAUUAAACGACCAGUAUCUCAACCUCCACCAUGCAUAUUUCACUGCAUAAGCUUUUAGCUUUAUCUCAAGGCCGGCUGCUAGUGGUACGGCUGCUAGGUAGACAUGAAGCUACAAGCAAAGACUUUGAAGUAAGUAACGUUGUUACAGUGAUGACGGAAGCGACACCAUAGGAUGUACAAAGGUCUGCUCUGAGCAUUUAUGAUACUCGUUCAGUGCUGGAACCCACACGUAACUUUAUAGGUGUUUUAUAAUUCUUCUCACAGUUUAAAAAAAAGUUUCGAGAUAAAUCAUACGUUUUAGAAAAGUAUUUGUAAAAUAUAAUAGUUUAAAUACAAAUGCUAUUCAUUUAUAUAAAAAAAAAUUAUUCAAAUUUUCAUGAAAAGUUUUAAAAAUAAAAUUUAAAUUUAAUAGCAAAAAAAAAAAUAGAUCGCCAAGAAUAUAUUAUAACUUUGUUUUUGACAUACCUAACACUUUAAGAUACAAUUCUAACCAAAAAAAUUUUAAAAACAUAAUUUUAAUUUAUUAGAGGUUUUGUUCAUAAUUAAUAUAGAAUUAAUUAUAAUCUUAUUUAAUAGUUUUUAAAAUAUAAUUAAAAUUAUCAUCAAAUAUAUCAAAAGUAAAUUCUCGUUAUUCACAAUGAUAUAUAUAUAUAUAUAUAUAUAUAUAUAUAUAUAUAUAUAUAUAUAUUAUUAUUACUAAUGAUUUAUUUUUUCUUACUUUAUUUCUCUUUAGGACCACAUUACUUUACCUUCUUAUCUCCUUAUCCAUAUUAAAUCUUAUCUUUUAAUCAUUAAUUUUUUAUAAAAUUUUAAAUUAACUUUUGAUGAAAUUAAUUUAUUUUUUUUAAAAAAAAAAAAAAAACAUCACGAUACAAACACUUCAACCAAUUCUCAAUAGCGAUUCUACACCAUUAAUAUUGGAAAUUAUGCUCACACUAUUAUUUUUUAAAUAUUUUUUUAAUCUAUAUUAUUCUCUCACAAUUUUUAACAAUUUACGUUAUUUUCCAAAAAAAUAAAAAAUCCUAACUAUUCAAAAGGUUUUCCGCAGUACCCGACGAUUCUACGAACUUCGAUCCCAGACGAUAUUGUUACAACCAUGUGAGAUCAGGCUAGGAUGCGAGAUGUAGUCAAGACAAUAGAUCCAGAAAUUGAAAGUACAAAAUGGUUGCUACAUCCAGGGUGAUACAGGAAAGGAAGUAAUAUUACUUGAUUGAUUAUUUUAACUACCAAAUGCUCAGUAUUUCAUGGCCAAAUCCAUAGUUUUAAAACCUAAUCUGACCUCAACCUGAAACUCAGGACUGAAACUGAACCCAGGUUUAUAAAAAAAUAAAUAUAAUUAAAAACUUGAUUGACCUGGUAAGUUUACCAGUGACCCGAUCAAAACUCAUGUCACUGAUCAAAACUCAUAACCCAAGCUUUGAACGAGAUCAGCCACUGGGACCGGUUUAAAAAUCACUGGCCAAAACCACACAAUUUGAAACCGUUGUACGGCGCAGCCACAGCUGAUUGGCAUUUGCUGUGUUGUCUAUGAUCUGAUUUAAACUUGUCUAAAACAAUGAAAUGGCAGGUCAAGGUAUUCGGGGAAAAUCCUGCAAAUAAACCUUCCCAUAACAAAGAGGAUUGAUAUAAAAGGGACCCAAAAACUCAGUAUGGAUGGCUGGAAAGCCAGGAACAAAAACUUUCUUGCCUGGAUUGUCGCAAUUGAUGCUUUUUAUAUACACUACAAUACAAUAGAUAUAAAAGGGUUAGAUACCCCAGCAGAAUUAAAUGGAAGAAAUAAAUUGAGGAGGGGAUGAGAGGAGGAGAACAUCAAUCAAAAGAAAAGAGGACAGAGAGAGGGCUAUUGGCUUUCCUUCAUCUUUGCUUAACCUUAAAACCGUUUGUUUUCGAAGGUGCAAGAUGUGCUAACAGACUCCCCCUCCAGCAUUCUGUUGCUAAGGUAGAGAAGCAGAGGACAUGCCUCCCUCUGAUCUGCGAGCUGCCUGGCCACUAACUGAUGAUUUGUCUGAACCUCUAACAUUGUACUUCUCAUACACUUUUUCACGAUUCUCCGACCACCAAGUUUCUGCUUGGUGCUCCCCAAAUCUUCUCCGACUGCAGAUAAAUUAAUAGGGACAGACAUAAAUGAAACGAUUAAGAGAUCAAAUCAGCUCUGAUUAAGAUGAUUUCAAACCUUUGCAAGGUGAAACGUUGAUGUAAUACUAUCAAAGCUCAUGUUCAGAAUGAUCUAUGAUUGUUUAUAAAAAUGCAAUCUUGAAUUAUAAAAAAAGCCUAUCAGCAACGUCAUGUUAACCAAUUGUUUAGAUUUCUUCUAGCUCUAUGCCAUACAAAAUGAGUGAGUCAUUAAUAUCUAAAAUAAAAUGAAAUAAAGUACCUGAAGCGCACUCGUUUGAGAUCUCUAGUUCCGUCGCGCAGGGAAACAAGAGUGAUAUACACUCCAGGCUCAUACUGUUCAAUCCACUCAGCCUCAACAUGAUUACCAUUAGCAACCGAUGAUGAAUCCCUCGAUUUCAUACUAUUCUCGCCAUCUUGAGGAGACCGAGGUUCCUUCCUGGCAACAGCAUCUGACACAGUAUUACAACUUGGCUGAUCCCCUCCACCAUUGGACAGUCUCACAUCUGGAUGGUCAUCCCUCCCAUUGGCUCCAGGUGAAUCCCGGACUGACUGAGUGAUACCUAGAGUUCCAUUUAUUGAAAUUGAGUCGAUCCUUGUCGGGGAAGCCAAGGAAGUUCCACUGAUAGAAUCAGAUCUUGAAUGCCGUUCUCCAUUUGCAUCAGGAAAAUGAAUGCCAUUUGUCUCCAAACCAUUUGCUAUGUAAGCUGGUCUCAGGCUCUCAGUGUCAUAGACCCCAGGCGGCAGCCUCUCAGCCAUAUCCUUGAGCUGGAAUUGAUAAGUGUAGAAAUCAUUAGUACAAAACAAGAGUAAGUCAAGAAAAAGAGAGGAAAAUUUCUAACAAUAUAAAAGACAAGGAUAUUCUCUAAUGGCUAUAAUGGGAAUGUUAGCUACCUAAAUUAACGGCAACCAGUGUUUCAUUCCUUCAGAAAUCUAUUCUAUCAAAUUCAUAUAGAUUUGAUGGGGUGGAUGCAUAUCGUGACAUACAUCAUAAUCAUGGUACAGAGGAGAUCAAACAAAAAUUUCCAAAAUUCAUUAACACGGAACCAAUGAUCAGUGGGCAAAAGCAGACUUACCUGUGCAGUAAGUGACUUUAUAACAUCUUUUGCAGCUUUGGACUUAGCUGAUUCGUCGGCGGCUACUGCCAUAGCUUCUUGUACCUUCUUAGCAGAUUUCUGGAGCUCUGAUUCUUGGAAUUCACAUCUCUGUCUUAGGCUCUCAACCUAAACAAGAUCAAUACGCAUGAAUGAUCAAACCCGGCCCAAAACAUAAAAACCUGACUUAAUUCAUACAGAAACAUGUGAUUAAUUUUUGCGGAAAACUCAGCCAGCAUACCUGUGUACGCAGCUUAAGCACUUCUUGAUUCAAAAGUUCGUUUGUUUUCUUCAAACUAUCAGCUAUACUUUUGGAAAAGGAAAGUCCUGACGUUGUUGGGACAGGCGUUGCAGAACGUGGGGGGCUAGGUCUCCUUGAGAAGGGCGACACGGAUCUGGAACUUACUCCAGAUGGUGUAAGAACAGGUUUGGGAACCUUUGGUCGCAGAUCAAUAGUGGUAGACAAAACAACAUCUUUCAGCUGCAACAAAGAAGGUGCUUGAGAAGACCGAACAAGAGAAAACGUAUCAGCUUUCUUUCCUUGUUUGGCUGCUUUGCUAUCUAAUUGCUUAAUCAAAUCCAAAUUUGAAGGCGUUGUUAACUUCGACAACCUUAAAUCAGCCUUGUCCAGCCUGUCCUUGUUUUCACCUGAAAGGCGAGGUCCAGCAUUUCUUCUGUUGGUGUUACUAGCAUCCGACACCUUAUUUAGUUUGGUAAAACAGGAAUCACAGACACGAUAUGGUUUGCUGGGAUUAGGAGCUAAGGCUGCUCUUGUUGCUUUUCUGGAACUGCAUGAAUGGCAGUGAACAAGUCCACAGUUAUAGCAGUUAUGCCUUUUACGUGUGAACCCAAAAGCCUGUCUGCAGGAUGAACAUUGAGAUUGCUCAGAACCAGAUACCCAUUUAUGGAGGCAUAUAGCUGCAGAAUAGUUUGCACCGCAUGCAAUAUAUUUCACAUGUUUAUCCUUCAAAGCUUCAACUAGAGUAGGUGUUUUUCGAUCUUCACCAUCUCCAUGACCCAACCUGCCAUUGGCACCCUUUCCCCAGGUAUAAACCUCAUUUCUGGAUGUCAAAACCGCUACAUGAUAUGCACCACAAGCAAUUUCUUCAACAGAUUCUCCAGAAAGCUUAUCUUCUACCAAGCAGGGUACCUUUCCAUCAGCAUAAGGAUUUCCAAGUUGACCAUAAACAGUACUGCCCAUUGUGAAUACAUCUCCCGAUGUGGUCAAGCCAACAGUUAAACUAUGUCCACAAGCAAUUUUGUGAAAAUUGUAAUCAAUUAAUGCUGGCACACAUGUGGGUUUAAGCUUAGGUUCUUUGUCUCCAUGUCCAAGACGAUUUUUGUCUCCAUCGCCCCAGGUAAAUAAUUUUCCAGAUGACACACUGGAACUUGAAUGUGUGACAAUAACCUCCACCACAGCAGCGGUAUGCCACACACCACAAGCAACAGCAAUAGUCCUCAACCCAGCGAGUGAUUCAACUUCUCUAGGAUAGGCAAUAUUUUCUUUGUUUCCAUGUCCCAAGACACCAAACGUUCCAUCACCAAAUGUAAAAAGCUGCCCUGUUGACGUCACCAAGGCUGUAUGCCACGGACCACAUGUUACAGAAGCAACUUGAAGACCCUCAAGAGGACCAGAGAUUCUCUUGGGUAUCCAGUGACUAAUAUCAGUGCCAUGACCAAGAAGCCCCGCAUAGUGCAUCCCAUCUCCCCAUGUAUAGAUUUCCCCAGCCAUUGUAACAGCACAAGUAUGGAAUUCUCCACAUGCUAUAAAGUCAACAGUAGUCAUUGCCAAAGACUCAACCAGGCGAGGUUGAAUAACAUCUUUCCCAACGCCAUGGCCAAGCCUUCCACCAGAUUCUUCACCCCAUGUAAAAACUUCACCCUGCCUUGUGACCAUUGCAGCAUGUCUGAAUCCACAGGCAAUAUGAUGUACAUCUAAAACUACAUUAGAUUCUAAGGGCCUGGGAAGAAGCACAUCAGCUCUAGUGCUCAAAUAUGUGGCAUUCUUAUCAGCCCCGACCUUGACAGCAUUAUCACAUAUAAUCUCACCCCAUACGUAUACAUCACCUAAGGCAUCACAGUCAUCUGGUGCAGAACCAUGACUGGAAGUGCUGGGAGCACUGGAAACACUAACUCUAAAAGCAUCUGAACCAGAACCUUUGACUUGCAUAUUUGUGUUUUCUGAUGCUACAUGUGACCGAUCAGAAUGUGGAGAACUCUCAAGCUGAAAAUUCUUCGGAGAAGUAUUUGGGUUGAAACUGACAGAAACCUCUGGAGAGCUAAUAUCUCGUGAAAUACUAACAGAACUGUCACUAGCACUGUUUGGUGUUAAAUCUCUGCCAUCCUGAAAUCAGAAAUUUUCAUGACAAACAAUACACAGCAGCAUAAUUAGGAAACAACAAUGAACUUUGCACUGAAACAAGAAUAUAGCAUCACUAAUGUAAUGAACAAAGAAAACAAGACAGAACUCCAGAGUCAAGAUAGGGUACAGGGAAGGAAAAGAGGAAGAGGAGGAAGUAUGAGGUGAAAAUUAACUAAAGUUUCACUAGGUAUAGAAUUACAUCAAGAUAGAGGCCCCCGUCACUCCAUCCAUCGAUUUUGGAGCGCCCACCUUGACCAGAGAUUAUUAAUGCCUUCAAGCCUGCAAUCCACACCUCCGCCUCAACUUUGUCCUUGCAAAUCUGAAAACAUGACAUAUAAGAUUCACAAUUUAAGCAGAUAAAGAAGAAAAACACAACUUCACAACUUCAUCCUAUACCAGAUCGAGGGACCGCUUCCCGUUGUUGUAUAUAAGAGAAAAUGAUAAAUAGUCCUUUUCAGGGCGGAGAUAUCGUUGAAAAACAGCCUGGUAGCACAUUAAGAGAAAACAAAUAGAACGGGUUUAUAUAGUAUAUACAAGAACAGAAUCAUUAAAUAUACUAUGCUAUGCUAAAAACAUAAAACAGAUAUGAAAGUGAUGGCAAAUCUCACAGUUCUUUGUCCAGGAAUAAUUUUAGAGACCGAGGCUAACUUCAAACUUCUUUCACCACUGCUUGAAAUCCAGAUCAAAGUCGUUUCAUCCUGUGAUUUUUAAACAUAAGAAAAGUAGAGUGUUAAAAAGGGAAGGAUGGGAGAGAGAAGAGAAGAGCGGGCAAUCUGCAUGCUGAAUGACAAGGCCACAGGUUACAUCAUAUUUACCUAAGAAAGAAACAAUCAAACAGUAGAAGACAACACACUAGAUGAGCACAUGUAGAGCAAAUAAGAUGACUUGUAUUAAAGAUGACAUGGGAUUCUUCACGAAACACACUGACCAGUUCAUUAAGUUAUUCACUAAAGGCAAUAUAGAUGCUCACUGAAACACCACGUAUAUAAUCUACUGACCGAUAACAAACUCCAGUGGACAGGGUACACAGGUUUUGGGCAAAACAAUAACGAGCAAUUUGAUGUGCAUCGAAAAAUCCCAUAAAUGAUAUGUUAUAUAUAAUUUUCAUAGUUUAUUACAUAUGCAUGCCAUUGUAUGACCAUAUCUAUACAUCCUCAGAUGAUUAUAAUAAUCAUUAUAAACAGCAGUUCGACUGCAAAUCACACUGAAGAGGAUCAUUUGUUUUAUGAAAAAGUCAUUACCCUAAACAUUUAAAACUGAAAAUGAGUGCAGUAACAACUGAGAGUAUCCUUGGUCAAAUGCACAAGAAUCAAACUUACAUUAGAAAGUCUGAACGGACAAAACUUAGGCUUUCCCUUACGACCAUAUUUCAGAAGUUGAGAACCCUUCUUCAGAGCAAUCAAUGCCUGCAAGAUGCAGAAAGAUAAUUUACUACCAUUGGGAUAAUACCUUUGGUAUGUGGACAUUAUAUUAUUCAGUCAAUCAAAAAAAGAAAAAGGUGUUAAAUUUAGUUCAUUAUUUUAAACAUGUUUUGGCACAACAUGCUUGUUAAGAUUAUCAAGACACCAAAGAUUUCUAAAACGUACAGUUAUCAGAGGCACAUUAUUGCUUGUUAUAAUCAAAACUCGUUAUUGGAUCUGCUUGAAAGAGAUACCAUCCCACACCCCAUCUUAUAAAUUGAUCUUAUCCUUUACAAGUUUGCAAAAAAAAAAAUGAAAUCAACCUGCAAGUAUUGGCAUUGAAAGUAUGGCAAAUUUGGGUCAUUACAUAUGAUGAAAGCUAUUUGUUGAGCGAUCCCAUCAUAAGUCCAAAAAUAAUGGUCAAUAUUGUUCUUGGCAUACCAUAUAGUGUUCUAGUAUUAAGUAGAGGCGUAAGCACUUGUUCCCUCUAAAAUGCACCUAUAAACCCCCACUUCAAUUGCUAAAAAUAGCCAUAGCCAACUAAAAGUUUCAAAAAGAAAAAUGGAUGAAAAUGGUAGUGAAAACAUAAGGCAUUUUAUGGACCGUUAAGACUCUACUCCAGACAUAACCAAAAAGAAAGAAGAUAAAGAAGAACGAUGUAUCCUAUUUUCACUCGGAGAAUGGAUAACUAAAAGCAAGAGAAACAAUUUCCUUUAAUUUCUCCCCCUUUCAAAUAGGCCAACCUUAUUCCAUGCAAAUUUUAAAUUGAAUUCAAAAACCCAAAAAAAAAAAAACCAUCGAAUUAAGCACUUUUUUCUUUCAAAAUUUGUCAAGGUGAAACAAAUUUCCAUCUCAUUUCUCCACGAAUAGAAGAAAAUUACAAAUAAUAUUAACAAUAAAUUCACGCAAAAUUCAAAGGCAUUUCCCACCUAAAUAAAUAGAUAAAACAAAAAAAAAAAAAAUUCAAAAAAGAAUCCCAACCUUGACACUAAUUAAACGCACGCGUGGGUAGAGAGAGAGGAUGGUACCUGCUCGAUGUCACGUUCGGCAUUACCGUAGCUAACAAGAUCUGCCAUUCCAUGUGAAGAUAUUUACGAAAACACAACCUCCCUCUCCGAUCGCUCACCGGAGCUCCGUUCAUCAUAUACCAUCUACUUCCUCUUCACAUCAAUACCCCUCGCUCUCUCUAGCAAAAAAAUCAGCUCUUUACAGAUCUAUAAUUCUCUCGAAAACCACCAAAAAAAUCAAGUCAAAGCCGGUGAUCGUCACUGUUGACUAAGAAGAUUAAAGAGCGAAGAGCGGUUCCCACGGUGAAAGAAGUCGGUUUUGUGGCAGAUUGAGAGGAUUCCGACGAGAGAAAGUGGUGGUGUCGGGGAGAGAAACGGAAGGGAAGAGAGACUCUUCGGUUGUUUUUUUGUAAGAAUAAAUACAAGUACGGAGAGAGUCGAAGCCGAGAUAACAAAUGGGAACUUGUGUUAAAAACUUAAAUUGUUGUUGUGAGAGCAUGAAUUCUCCGGAGAGAAAAAAAAAUAAGAAAGCUAAGCCACCAUUAUUGCCCUUCUUAUUUUAUUUUACAUGGUUAUUAGAAAAGGUCUAUGAUAGUAUUCACAUAUGAAGUAUUACUUCUUCUUUUUUCAUUUUUUACUUUUCUAAAGUACUUGUUUGGUGCAUCAUUUGAAUUAGUUCUUAGAAAGAUCAGUGAGUAGGGGUAUGUUGCCAAGAUUAUUCGUGAAAAUAGUUCUCUUCUUCCCUUGAUUUCUUUCAAGUAAAGUUUGUGUUCAACGUCGUGGGAGUAGUUUGAUUUGUAGGUGGAUUAAUUUGGGUUAAUAUUUAUAAUGAAAUGCUAUAUUUUAUUAUUUUCUAAAAUAAAUUUAUAAAAUAUCAAAUUUUAUUGAUUGUGAUCCAGUCAAAUAAAUUUCAUGGAGUUAAUAUAAUUUCUUGAUUCAAUUUAAAACUUGAUCCAAUUCAAGAUCGUGAAUUAACCUAUAAGACCGAGCUGAGUUGAAUUACAAUGAUUUUAUAUAAAAACUUGAUUUUCCUAGAAAAUAAAACUUAUUAUUCAUACUAUGAUUUAAAAAUAAGUAUAAUUUAUUUGUUAUCAUGAAAGAGGGUUUGAAAUCUAGGUAAUUAUUAUUAUUAUUUCAAAUCUUGGGUAACAUUAAGAGAUUUUUAUUAUUUUGUAAAUUAUAUCUAUUUACAGUACAAUUAAUGUAAUGUAGGUUUUAUUUUUAUUUUUCCAUAAAUAAAAAUUAAAACUUCCAUGCCCCUCCUAUAAAUGGUAAUGAACUUCUUCACAUUUUUUUUCUUUAGAAAAAGAAAGAGGGGGGGGGGCAUAAAGGAAAAGGCGGGGUAGCCAAACAGGUCCUAGUUAUCGGGAGUUGUGAAGAGUUAACGCUCUUGUGUUAUGUUGGACUUUCUGCUUUGAGGCUGAGGGAGGGGGGGGGGGGCGCACGUAGAGGUAGUGGGGUGUAAGGUAACGGACACGCAACACAUUGAGAAGCUUAACGUUUGCCUUGGUACAUUUAAGUGACGAAAAUGCCUAUGAUGGAGAGUGACGUGGUGGUAAAAAAGCGGCGGUAUGUACUUGAGUCCACCGCAAGCGCAGGGGUAGGCUAGGUAACUUCCGUUUCGAUGAAAAAGAAAGCAAGGAUAUUGUGUCGAGCCAUUAAAAGAGAAGUCCUGCAUGGGUCCCAGGAUACGGUGCCGUUUAUGACGCUCAGAUUUUUGGAGACCAACGAGGAGAAUGUAUUGUAUGGCUUAGGCGAAACCAGACGCCUGGAUGUAAUAUCUUGGGGUUUUUAGUGAAUUUGAUAUCUCUCAUGAAAUCUAGGGAAUUAGGAUAAUACACGAUAUUUAGGUUGUAUCUGAAAUCCGAGGUCUUGUAGAUAUGUCCCAUGAGUUGAGAGUUAACGAUUCUUUGUCAGGUGUUAAGAGGGAAUCCGUGUGGUAGUUAGGUUAACAGUGUGUAAUGGAUCGGGUCAUUCGAGGCUUUUGCUUUUAGAUAUUGCCACUGGUUCGAUGUCCGUGUUGAGCCGUAAUUUAACGUUUUAUUUUUAUAAAAAAAUUUGUAAAAAAUUAUAAUAUAAAAAAUAAUAUUUUUUAAUAUUAUUAAUAAUAUUUUUUUAAAAUUUAUUAAUUAUUUUAUUAAUUAUAGUAAAGAUAAUAAUAUUUAUUGCAUAAAUAAUUAUAUUAAAAAUUUCCAUAAUAAUAUUCCUAUAUCAAUACUUUGAGUUAUAAUAAAAAUAAUAAUAUUUUUAACACAGAUAAUACUAUUUUUGAUCUGAACACUUUGAAUUGUAAGAGAAAAAAUAAUAUUUAUAACAUACAUUAUUAUUAUAUUAUCUAACCACUUUUUAGCAACGAAACUCUUUGUUUUUUGUGUUAAAGAGUUUCAAUUGAUGAUAAGAGUUCAAUUGUUACGAGUCAUGGUAAUAAAUGUACCUCAAAAAGGAGCUUAGGUUCUAUUUUGAUUUUUCUGAUUCGGUUAAUUUUUUUUUUUACAUGUGAUCCUAGGUUGUUAGAUAGUUUAUGAUACCUUGUAUGGUUUUUAUUAUGUGUUUUCGAGUAAAAACAUAUUAGGAGAUGGAUUUUCAACUCAAACUCUCCUAAUUUUUCAUAAAAUAAUAAAAUUCAUGAGCUAUAAAUAUAUCAUGAGUUUUUAGAGUUGAAGGUUCACGAUCUCUUCAUUCUCAAUAUUACCCAUAACCUGACUUGCCAUAUACUAUUUGUUAUUAUCACAAUUAUCGAUCACUUGACUUAUUAGGCAUUGUCUACUAUCAUCACAACUACUAAUCAACUAACCUACCAAGUAUCGCUUAUUAUCAACUAUCAACCCUCUAAGCUUUUUACAUAAAAUCAUUAAAUACUUUAAUUAUAUAAAAUAAAUCAAAUUAUUUGAAUUAAGAAAUCAAGUUUUAAAUUAUUUUGAAUUUUAAAACUCGUCAAUAUUCUUGUAUAUUUUCUUCAUUAUAAGUCCUCCGAGUAUACAAAACUGCAAACAAUUGACUUCUAUUUUCACUGUCAAAGAUCUAAAAAAAAGCUUAAAAGCUAUCAACAACUAUAAAGAAAGAAAAAACACGUACACAGGAAUAACAAUAAGAAAAUCACAUUACAAUUCAUCAAAUAAUUAAAUCGUAUACCUGGUUUUUGCUCCAUGCCACUCUUUUCGAGUCAUUUAUUAAUGCUUCUGAUAUCUCUUGCUGAUAAUGAAAAGUGGCAACUUAAUUAUUCAUGAAACUUUAUAAAUUAUCUGUAUAUCUCUAAGAGGCAAUUUAAUAAAAAUUAUUCGUAAAACUUUAUUGUCAUCACGUAUAUGAGAGAAUAUUUUGAAGAAUAUUAUUUCAAUCCUUGACCAUGCCUACAAAAGAGGCUAACACGGUUUUGUUUUGUAAAAUUAUUUUUAAAGAAGCUUUUAUGACAUCCAUACAUGUCAAUAUGUUAUUAAGCUCUAAAAAAUACCUAGAUGUAUAUCAUUCACACAUUCUUGAUUCAGUAUAGAGAUUUUAAAUUUAUUUUGAGAGAAUUACAUUUAGUGUAUAAAUUGCAAUUAUCCACUAUAAUUUGAAAAUUACAAGGUUAAGAAAAAAAUUUAGGUGAGAUAAAAUAACUAAAUUAUCUUAUAUAUAUUAUAUCAAAAGAACCUCGAAUUAAAGCCUAGGAAGAACCCUAAAUUUUAUUCUAAUCUCUCUCUGUUUUUUUUUCUUCACUUCCAUUUGAGAGAAGGAAAACCAGAAUUGAAGUGUCUCAUCAACCGCUUUCCAAGGUUUGCUUAUACCGUGGUUAUUUAUUUUUUUUAGUUUAUUUCCUCUAUUUUUUUUUUAAUCACAAUCUUCUACUCUCCAGGAAACGAUGGCAUAUUAUUUGACAACUGGGACAACAAAAAUUGUCAGCGACAAUACGUUAACCGAGACAUGGAUGGAAAAGCUGGCUUAAUUUUUUUGGCCUACCAAGUGAAACUUUUCACGGAAAAAGCGAGCGAGUAGAGAAAAUGCCGAAGAGAUGGUAUUGUGUGGAGAAACAUUGACUGGUCUCCUGCGUUUCUUUUCCCUAUAGAAUUUACUGGUGUAUUUAUGGUGAGCUGCUGUUUGGCUUUUAACGUAAAUUGUUUUUUAAAAUAUAUUUUUUAUUUUUAAAAAAUUAUUUUUGAUAUCAAUAUUUUAAAAUAUUAAAAAAUAUUAAUUUAAAAUAAAAAAAUAAAAAAAAUUCAAAAACAUUUUACAAACACAAAAACAAACAAAAUAUUCUUCUACUUGGAGUUGAAUGGCGGAAAUCUCUUUUCGGUAACCAAAUACCGUCAAUCUGCACUCUAUACCCUCAAUCAUCAAAUGAAAAUGACGAAUGAAUUUAAGUUCUUUGAUGGUUGCUUAACUUUAUAACAUCUUUACUUAGUCUUCUGGGAUCAUCCUUAGACCAAUCCGCCGGGAUCGAACCAAAGUUCUUCAUCAACUCUCUCUUUUAGGUGAGAUUCAUACCAACAUGUGGGAUUGUAUAGUGAAAAGGAGUCCGGUUGCAGCACUGUUAUUGGCUUUUUUAGAUCCCAUCGAGCUGAACUGUGACACCACUAUUUUUAUUUUUUUAUGACUCUAUAUGUCUGGGUUAGCUUACGCGCACCACAACUAAUUCUAGGGUCUACUGAAUAUCCUGCAAGCUCAGUAAGCGGGUAAGGCACCGCGGGAGUGACAAGCUGGUACUCUUAAGGAUCGAACCCAGGACAUUCACAAAGACAAGCCUUGCAGUUGACCAAUGAACUAGACCCUCAAGUAUUGACACCUAUAUUCUUGUUUUUGUGGGAGGGUGUUGAUUUGAUAUUUAAUAAAGUUUAUAAUUUUUUAUUUUCAAAAUUUUAUUUUUAAUAGCAAUACAGAUAUAAAAACAUAAAAAAAAUUAAUUUUAAUUUUUUAUAUAUAUAAAAAUACUCUAUUCAUAGCUAUAUUGACAGAUCGAAUAAGAUAUACUAAUUUACGUUGUUUUAGAUUACAUAAAUUCGGCCGAUCCAAUGUAUAAGAUCAUAGCUACGUGGACAUCGCUCAUUAGCUUAUCCCCUCCCAAAAUUUAUUCGUUUUCGUUUUCCAAUCGUGAUUGUGCGGCAGAAAAGACGUAAAAGAAUAUUUUUAUUGUGUGAUUUUUUAACAAAAUUUUAUGCCCGUCGUAUCACCAGCUUAUUUAGCAUAAACCAUAUAUUCUGCUUUGGAAUUUCAGUUUCAAAAUACCUUGUUUAAGAAAUAAAAAUAUUAAAAUACUAUAAACCAUACAUUCCUGUAUGGUGAUGUAAAAAGUUAUUUAUACUAUAAACAAUAAAAUGUAACAAUUUAUUGAUAGUUAAUCAAUCUUUCACUUGGAAAUUGGGAUGGUUCAAAAAUUUUAAACAUGGAAAACUUAAUUCAGUAAACAAAUAAAUUUUAUUUAUGUUAUUUAAAAUAUUGUUUAUAUUUUUAAAAAUGAUUAAAUAAUAUACGAGCUAAGAAAACUAAUAAAAACACACGUAAACAAGCCUACACUAAUUUAAGUCGAAAAAGAAAUCUCCAGGUAUAAAGUAUAAACCCUUCUCCUAAAAAUAAAAUAAAAUACAUCCACACAAUUUGAAAAAAGAUUUGAAUCUUUAUUAGAUGUUAACUCGAGGUUUUUGACAAAUUGUUUUAUAUUGACGUGAGUUUAAUUUCAAGAAAAAGAAAAAGAAAAAGAAAAUCACGUCAGAUUGGGUAAUCUACCAGAGUCCAAUCAGCACUUGAUUAUAAAGAGACGAGGAGGCUUGGUAGUCAAGGGAACACCAGAACGGAACAAAAAGUGACAAAACCCGUGUGUGGAUGGAUCGUCUGAUUCCUGGUCAUCUCAAAGCUUUUCGGAAAUCGAGGGAUGGUGACAUUUUUAAUUUAUUUUUAAAAAGCUUAGUGAAGUAUUCCCAUCACUGAUGAAAAGGAUUGGCAUUGCUGUGUGUGCAUUUUCUUUGCUUUUGAGGAGUGGCCAUUUUUAAAAUGACAAGAAACACCCUCUCACUUCUGGUGGGGCUUCUCCCUGUCCGAAGCCGUGUCUUUUUUUUUAUUUGGUAGGUGAGCGACCAUGUUUAUUUGAUGAUGUCUUUCCUGCAUUCUCACAGGACCCACUGUCUGAUUACCGGAGAUUGCCUUUUUAAUUUCUAAGUGGGAAUAGUAUUUGUUUUUUUUAAAUAUAAAAAUAAUAUAAUUUUAUAUUUUUAAAAAAUAUUUUUAACAUCACAAAUUAAAAUAAUUAAAAAAAUAAAACAAUUAAUUUUAAAUAGAAAAAAAAUUCAAAUUCAAACACACGGUAAUUAAAAGGAGAUCGCCUAUUUCUUUCCCUCUUCUUUUUCUUUUUUUCUUUGCGGCGAUUAUUAAUCUUUUUUUCUUACAAAAAGGGUGGAUUAUUUGACGACUAUCUUAGCCGCCUAUUCCGUAGACUUGUUCAAGUUUCCAUCAUUCAAGUUUCCGUCACGUGAUGGGAAGGGAUACACAAUGAAAAUUGGCCAUGGAACGUCGGUCGGUCUCCAUUGGCGUUCCCGUUUCAAGAACUAUCAACUUCUGGAUGUAUUUUACUCACGGCUUGAUAUUGUUGAUGAGAUAUUUUAAAGAUAUAUUUUUUUAGAUAUUUGAAGAGUAAUUAGUAUUAUUUUAUUACUUAUUUUCUAGAUUUUUUUUUUCAAUCAGUAUUAUCAAUCAUCUUGUCGUAUUUCUAUGAAAUAGAUUAUAUUGAACUAUGAAAUGAUAAAUCACGGUGAUGCAUUGUGCAUAAAUUUAUUUGAAUUAAAACACCAAAAAUUACAUAAAUUGAUUGUUAGAUUUUUAGUAGUAAAAUUAACAGCAAUAAAAAUUGACAGAUUGAAAUAUUUUAUUGAUUUAAUAUAAUGUUUAUAGUAAUAUUUAUUUUAUUUUAGAAGUAUAAAAAUUGCUCCAGGUUUUUUUAAAAAAGAACAUAUUUACUGCAAAAAAUAAAUAAAAAGUAAGUUUGAACUCUCCAUCAAGUAACGGGACACCAAAAACAUCUAAUAUAUAUAGGAAGACUUGUUUUGUGAGUUAUCACUAAUCGCUUUGAAAAAGAGUGAUGGUAAGUAUAUAAGGAUUCUAAUACUUCAUUGCCCAACUUUUGACAGCAUUUGGUAAGUUGGAAGACGGAUAGGUAUUAUUUAUUUUUGUGUUUUAAAAAUAUUUAAAUUUGUUUUAUUUUUUUAUUUUAAAUUAAUAUAUUUUUAGUAUUUUAAAAUCAAUUUAAUAUGUUAAUGUUAAAAAUAAUUUUUAAAAAAUUUUUAAAAAAUUAUUUUAAUAUAUUUUUAAAUAAAAAAUAUUUUUAAAAAUAAUUAUAACUACGUAUCUAAACAGGUUAAAAGUGCAAUUCACCUCAUGACAAUCCGUUCUAUCUUCUUCGCCGAUCUCUACCAUGUAGAGUGCAAGCUGCCUACGGCUAUUACUGAUGAACUUGAGAAAAAUUAUCGUGCCUUUAGUUGGGGGAUAGAAGGGUGGUAAUUAAGACGAAAAUGCAUCUUAAUCUUAUUAAUUAGGAGUCUGUCUGUCAACCAAACAGGCGUGAAGGAGCUGGCUGAAAUAUUUAGGCACUAUGAAAGUUGUCAUGUUGAUGAAAUUUGGCUGGGUCUGCUGACUCGAAAAGUAAUUUAUGGGUUGAGGUUUUAAGGAGCAAGUGUAAGGUUUGUGAGGACAUAAUUCCUGCUCUCUAGACUCUUUGCCAGACCGAAUUCGUCUCCUCUAUGGAAAGCUUUGUGCUUCGUUUAGCCUUGUGUUUUGGAAGAUGUUCUCUUGGAUCGGGAUUCGGGUUGAUUCUUGGAUAGAUGCUCUCUUGGAUCGGUUUCGGGUUGAUUCUUGGAUAGAUGGUCUUAUGGACUUUGCUACUGAUCAGGGUAAAUGGAGGCGAAGCUAAUUUGGCAGCUUUCUUCCGUCGUCUAUUCUCAAAUUGAUGAUGAUGAGUUGAUAUGGUAGCCUUCUUCGAAUGGCUGUUUCUCUACUGAAUCUACUUAUGAUAUAGACAAGUAUAGAUGGAAUUAUUCUAAGAAGAUAUGGUCUUUAGUGCGGGGUUGGAAUAGUCCUUUUUAUUUUUUUUAUAUUAAUAUGGUUAUUCGAACAAACUUACGUGUAAAUUUUUUUUAAAUAGACAAAUAUUGCUGCUCUCGUUUUGAUUUCUUUAUGCGAAAUUUAUUUUUUAAAAAUAAUACAUGUUGAUAAAUUUUUUGAAAUAAUGACAUGGAUUGAACAAAUACUUGAGAAACAGUACAAUUUGAACAUAAUUAUAUUUUUGUAUUUGAAUUCUUCAAGUUCCCAUAGACGACAUUAUUUAUAAAGUCUUAAAAAUCUAAGUAGUCUUGAAAUAAUAUUUUCGAGUUAGAUAAUCGAUUAAUUAAUUGAUGUUAAUAAUUUUAUUUAUUUUUAUUGAUCUAGAUAGUUGAUAGCUUAUACUUAGAUUUAUAGCUAGUACUUGUAAGAGAUCUCAUGGGGAUGUAGACUCUUCAAUACUUAAAUAAGCAUUUUUUUAGAGAAAGAAAAAUUAAUAAUAUUAUAGAAAAAAAUACUUUGAAAAUAUAUAUGCAUUAAAAAAUGAAGAUUGUGAAGCUCUUGUUCUGAAGAGUCUUGUGAUAUAUUUAUAGCCCAUGAAUUUUAUUUUUUUUAUAGAGAAAAGAAGCUUGAGUAUAAUUUUAUUUUGUGAUAUUUUAAAUUACAUUAUAAAUUGUAUUUCACUCAUUUUAUCCGGCUAAAAAAGAGAGAAAUGAUGAACCAUGAUUGAUUUAAGCCCACCUAGGGCUAUGUUUGACAUACUACCAAGCCUAAUCGUGAUUAAGUAGUAUUAAAUUUAAAUGUUUUUUUAAUUUUAACCGGUUAAAGAGUCAAUCUUUUUAAUUAUAUAUAAUUAGGUAAAAUUACGAGUUUUUUCCCCAUAAGAAACCGAUUGGAAUGGGAAAGUGUCAAAAAGUUUCAAUCUUCCCACCUUGAGACAGAGCAUGAGAAAUGUUCCAAUGUCCAGGUGGCCUUUACUCCAAUUAAGGACGAAAGUAGUUGAUCAAAGCACAGUAAGGGGCAACUUGGGAUGCCAUCAGCAUUGUUCCUCUCAGUAUCCUAUUGCAAAUUUGACUCUGGCCUCACGAGUAUACACUAUACACACUGCCCAUCGCUAAAUAAUCUGAACUAGCCUUUUCUCUCAGUGGUUGGAAAUUCGGCUUUCAUGUCGGAGGAAGUGCUCAUAUGCAGCAGGAAGGAGCUGUUUAUUUUUACCUUUUAAAAUAUUUUUGAAAAAAAAUAUUUUUUAUUUUAAAUUAAUAUUUUUUUAGUGUUAUUAAAUUAUUUUGAUGUGUUGAUAUUAAAAAUAAUUUUUUAAAAAUAAAUAUAAAAUAAUAUUUUGAUAUAUUUUUUUAAUAAAAUAUACUUAAAAAAAACAACACUUCUAAACAUACUUGAAACCCUUUGUUACGCCACACACAAAAUGUCAAAAUUAGGAGGUUGCUUGCUCUCACUUUUAAGAUAAGUGAUUAGCGUGGGUAAAACAUCGAAUUGAAAUCUCAUAAAGACUACAUUUUCAAUUCGAUAAAAGCAUCUCCUUUGCCCUACAAUUAAUAUUUUACUAAUUUACUCCACCAGUCUAAAUAUAAGCAUAUUUGUGUGUGUUAAUGAUCUCUUGAGUUUCUAUGGCAGCUUACCAAAUCUAACCAUUAAAAUAAAGUUUUUCAUUCAAUCAUGGCCCGUUAAAAUGAAAGAAUUAUCUCGCAUCAAGAGGUUGGUUUCACAGCUCGGCAAUCAUCAAUAAAUUAUGAAAAUAAAUUUCAUCAAUCCCACCUGUGCUUGCAUUGUAAUCUUUGACGUGGUUGGGAAUUAACCACCACGAGCACGUUCGCAUUCAUUUGUUAACCUAAUUUUAUGGCCCUCCAUCAACCAAGUAUGGUUCCAGGACAAAACAGCUUAACAAUAUGUAGUUAGCCCAGUUAAUCAAUCCACUUUAUGUUUUGUUUUUAAGCCACCUGUUGCUUUGUUCUGUACCAGAAGAAAGCAGGUUUUGCCAUGGAAGCGAUCCCAUUUCACCCUCUUUCUCUGUGUCCUGUCACUUACAUUCACAAGCUGCUAAAUUAUUUCCAACAGCUUGAAUAACAAGACAUGGCACCUUAGGCCCAGUUUGGUUGCCAUCAUUUUCUUUUUUUUCAUUAGUUUGUAAACAUUUCUGUUCUGAGAAGACAUUUUGAGACGAAAUGUAAAUAUGAUUGCGAAUCCAAUUCCUCCGUUUCCAUACAAGGGUUAUAUACGGCGACAUCAAAUUUUAGAAAAAAUGUCAAAAGUUGAGAAAGCAUCUCGGUAAUGAUGGGUUGGAUUAGUGAUUAGAAUAAUGGUGCUAAACUAGUAAUGAUGCGCUUAUUAUAGUAGCAACGUGAUAAAGACCUUGAAAGCCGCCUUGUUGCAAUAAUUUUGAUGGGGGCAGUGAGAAUCUUGAGGCGAGUGAGAUGAAGCAUAAAUGAUGAGAAAGGGGAAGUUGAACGAGAGAAGGCUAACUUUGGGGACAAGAAGCCAAAAUUGUAAAGCGAGGGACCGCUCGAUUUCAUACAAUUACACAGCCCCCAUAGCCUGGUCGGCCUCUUGUUUUGCAUAUGGGGCCAUUUGCAUUUUAAGGUACAAUAGAGGGGUUUUAAAAAAAUAUUUAAAAGAGAACAGGAAACACUCGCGAUUUGACUGUUAAUUCUCAUAAUGAAAUGAAUAUUUUGCUCUUCAUAGUAACAACCAUGAAGUGAGAUUUGGAAGGUAAAAUAGUUUUUUUACUGGAUUUAUUUGACACUAUAAAAUUAAUUUGGGGUAAAUCGGUUUAUUUAACUAUCCUUGAAAGCAAGGAACCUAAACUGACGUAUUGAAAAUUUGAAACCUUUUAGUCUUCUCGUUUUUUUCAAAAUACUAAAAUGGGCCUUUUUUUGCAGUGAAAUCCCUCCUCAUCUUGAAGUUAUGAAAUUUAAUAUAAAAAAAUUGUUUGACAUGGCGACCUAAUGUUUCCAAUUAAUCCAAUUCAUACCCCUGCAUUUAUUACGCUCACACACACAGAUAUAAAGUAACGUUUUGUGGAAAAGAAGUCACAGAACGGAUUCCAUUGCCCCCCCCGCUGGAUGGCAAAUGCUGCUAGAGCUUUUUCGACGUGAUUGGAUCUACUUUGCGAUAUCUUUUUCUUCCCCGUGUGAAAGAAGUGCCUGAUUAAUCAACUUUCAUGAAAACAAAUUAUUUUAUUUUAUUUAUCCUUUCUUUUGUUUUUUAUUUAUCCUCCUUCCUUCCUUCCUUCCGGUACUUCCAUUUUAGCCGAUCGAGUUUCCUCCUUCCAUUGUAGCCUGAACCCACACUCGAGUUUCUCUACAGUUGAUUGCUAAUCCUGCAUGGUACUUUAGGAGCACGCAGGCGAGGAGCAUGUUGCAAUCAUAGGCAGAGAAGACAAAAUAUAUUUUCCAGCAGAUUGAACAAAACAAAAUAAAAAAAGGGGGUCGUCAUCCUAUAUGUUAUCAAAGCACUAUCCAGGGCCCGGAAAUUUGUCAUGUCUACAUCAUUCGAAGUAUGAAUACCUUUUCUACUCACUAAUGGAGACCAAAGGGUGUUUUUCUUGCGCUUUUAAGAAGAACAUGGCGCUACCAGUGCCACCCGUCACAGUUAUGGAUAAUGCUUGUAAUCAUUAGUGAUGACAGUGUGACUCGUUAUUCCAUUGUCGAAAAACUUUAACAAUAUCAAGCUAAAACUAACACACUCGCAGUCAUUUUUCCCUUCAUAGGAAAUUAGUGUAAGAGGUAAAUACAAGUUAUCUCACCAACCCAGUUUGUGUAGGAAAUUACUGUUACUUGAAUCAAAUCUAACCGCAAUAACUUACAGCUCUUUUCUCAAAUCACAAGGGAAAUAACGUAGUUUUCAUUUCUCAAGUGCCAUACCUUUUAAAGUACGUAGACAGAUUUAUAUAUAUUAUCUGUGGAGAUAAUUCUCUCUUCCAAUUCUCUCUCAUUUAUUCUAUUAUAAGGUUAAAUAUUUUAUUAACGCAGCCGAACCAUUGCAGAAUUCGGAUUUUGGAGUUGGGUCGUGGUUACAGGCUUGGCGUUUCCCGUGUCCGAUCCUUGCGUUUUUUUCUUCUUUUUUUUUCUAAAUAAAUAAAAAUGCUGGAAAUAUGCAUUCAUGGAAUAUACACUACACAACACAUGCAUAUAGGUGAACUGACCACUCAAACUUGUACGAAUUAUAGGAGCCGAGGUGUUCACGUGGGAAUAGUAAUUAAAUUGUGCACUCACUACUGCAAAGACGAAGGGGAAAAUCUAAUUUCGAAACUACUUGGGAUCCAAUAUAUAUAGAUAGAUAGUCUCCUCUCCUACAUCAAUGGAGAUUCAAGGACCCGUGAAGAAACUACUAGUGAACGGGCCUGGGUAACUUAAAUUCUUGCGUGAGAUGCUGGACAUGCGCAAGUAAACUGGGUAUCGUGAAGGCAUUAAUUUUAAUUUCAUAUUUCUUUCCUUCUUUCUCUUCCUUGUCUUUUUAUUUCUUAAAUGAAUUUGCCAAUUCUCAUACUUCACAAAACAAAUUCACCUGUUUUGUUUUGGAUCUGUUGACUUGGUUUUUUUUUAAUGUUUCCAAAUUAAACGAUUUAAUGAUAUGCCUAAAAUAACAAGGACACCCAACACACUCUUUAAGCUAUCUAUCAAAUUGACAAUGUAUGCUCUUAAAACUUGGGUGGCGCAUAAUAUUGUGUUGAUUUCUGCCUUUUAUAUAGUUUUUUGUCUAAAACAAUAUUAAAUUAAUGAUUUUUAAGUGUGUAUUUUUGAUAAUUUUAAUGUAUUGAUAUAAAAAAUAUUAUUUAAUAUAUUUAAAAUUAAAAUUUAUUUUUAAAAAGCACUCCACGAUAUCAAAUAUUCAUUAAUCAAUCUCCUUUGAUUUUUUUCAAACCAUGGAUUAAAUCUCUUGCCCUUCCACAAAUAACAUCAUCGACGUCCCACUUGAAUUACCUACAUCCAGAUGGCUUCCCACCCUCGUUUUUCAACCGAGAUUGGGAUUUUUAAUAUUAAACUGAGAAUUUCUUAUUAAACAUGUUAAUACCUCUGCUCAUGGGGGACGGAUGACAUGUCAUUUGUUUGCCGAAGUGUCACAUGAUCCUCCUCCACGAUGGACCAGUAAAAUUAUGAGUGUGGCAAGUGAUAUUCUCUUCUAUCCAUGUCAACCUAUUACCUGCUUCAAACACGACACGUGUGAUUCUAAAGUCAAAAUUAACCUUCAUUGUCAUUGACCUCGACCUCUAACCGAAGGAUUUUUAACGUGUAACAGUGCAGAUAAAAAAAAAAAACAAUACUCAAUUGCCGAAAUUGAUAAGUGUUUUCGCCAAAAAUCAUAAAAUACAUAAUAAACAAGUUGUCCUUUAGCGUGAACAAAUGGUUGCAUGUUAAAUUAAAUUAAAUUAAAUCUAUAUAAUUUUGGAAACCACGUGUUAUGUUUCCUGAUGAAAAAAUGCUUUUAAUUUUUUUUUUUUGUUUCAAAUUAAUUAGGGCUAGUGUUUUUAAUUUGUUUUAACAUGCUGAAGUUAAAAAAUAAUUUUAAAAAAUAAAAAAUAUAUUAUUUUAAUGUAUUUCUAAAAAAAACAUUUUAAAAAUCAAUUAUUAUUAUUCUACCAAACACCAUCUCAAAAUGAAUGUGAGAAAGCACACCUUGUAUGCAAUGCCAUUUUCCUGUUAUUUUACCUAUAGCGGAAAACUACAUUUUCCUGGUUAUAUUAACUUUUCUCCAAGUUUCUUUAAUUAGUUAUAGAUCUCAGAUUAUUAUUUCCUUACGUCUUAAGAUUCAAUUUAAUUUUUAAAUAAUUUUAAAAUCAACAUCAAUAAUAAUACAUUACAGUAUAAAAUACUAAAUUGAAGACUUGAAAUCAAUAAAUUAAAGAAGGAAAAACUUUCCCAGAUAUGAAAUAAACUCUGACAUGCAUGCAUGGCAGGAGACACAGAUUCCACAACAUGGAUAAAGUGGAAAAAGAAAUGAAGAAAAGAAAAGGCAAGUUCAGUGUUUGUUUGUGGGAUCGUGUAUGUCGUGUCUACAUCAAAUCCCGACAUGCAGGGGCUAGGUUUCUUGUUCCGACGAGUAAAAUGGUAGCAGAGUAGCAGCGACUCUCUCACACUGUAAAAUACCAAAAGAAACUUGUUAGCUUUGAGUUGGCAACAUCAAUAGGGGGCUUGCAUAUCACUGCUCAUUGCUAGCUUCCAUUUUGUCUCUCAUGGCGAACAAGAUCCAGUGAUGAAAUUAUUAUCAGCGGCAGACCCAUUUUCAGACUUCACUGUAACAUGGAGAUCCUCGUGAUUAACUUAAUAAAAAUAAGGUGUUUAACCGACAUCAAUAUUGUGUGGAUGCUAUUAUAGAUUACCCUUUCUUGACAAAUGAAAGAUUUUUAUCCAUAUCGGUUCUUUUAAUGUAUUUUUUAACAUAAAAAAAUUUAAAAUGUAAAUCGAUCAAAAGUCUAUGAUAACGUCUAGUUAAAUAAACUAAUAAUUAUUUAUGUAAAUAAAUAAAUAAAUAAAUCAUUAACAAUAAACAAAUAAAAAAAUAAAAAAAAUAAAAAAUAAAUACGGAUUAAGAUAUUCAGUCAUACAAAAUGAAACAUUUAUCCAAUUGUGUCUAUUAAAUUUAUUUACUUAAAUUAAUAAAAGAUAAAUCUAUACCCUAAAAAUCUCAUAACAUAAAAGAUAAACAUAAAUAAAAUUGACUAGAUAAACUCGCCCUAAAAACAUUACACAAGGCCGAAUACGUCAUCAAUAUUAUUUACAAACAAAUAUUUUUUAUUUUAAAAAAUAAUUUUUAUUUGUAUAAAACAAAAAAUAUAUAAAUCAAUUAGAAUAAUAUCUUAAAAAAAUCAGCAAACAAACAAACAAACAAUUCUAAAAAUAAUCAUAUUAAAAAAAUGGCAUGCAAAACACGUUACUUGAAUCAUGAGACCGGAACAAAUCCAUAGAAAAAAAUUCAAGAUCAUCACAAAACCAAUAUUUUCUUAAAAAGAAAAAAAAUAUAUAGAAUUAUUAGAUCGUACGAAGCCAAAUAUCCAACAAAUCAAAUGUCAAAAGAUUAAAUUAUAAAAAAUAAAUCCAAUUACAUAAAAGCAUUCAAAAAAAAUUAAAGGUGAAAAAACAAUUCAUUAAAGGGCAAAUAAAGAUUUUAUUUGACCAGUUCUUUGCAGCAGGCCGUAAAUUUAUUUUUAAGAAAUUAAAAUAGAAACCAAAAGGUGUAAAUCAAAUUUAUUUGACGAGUUCUCGAGUAUAUAGAUAUUUUGAUAUGUUUUUUUAGGUAAUAAAAUUUUAAGUGUAAAUAAAAAAGUCUACCCAAAAAUCUAAUAAUUAUAUAUAUAGAUAAAAAAAUCAUGAAUAAUAAUUAAAAUAGAAAGUGAAAAUAAAAUAAAAAAUAGAUGUGGAUUAAGAUAUUUGAUCUCGCAAAUGAAGACAUUUACCCACUUGUAUCAAUUGAACUUGUUUAGUAAAAUCAAUAAAAGAUCAUGAAAAUAAAAACACAUAUGAAAUCAUGUGAAUAAAAUAAAAAAUACAAAACAAAAUAAAUAACAAUUAGAAGAAUUGUAAAUGAAUUCAAUAUAAAAAUUAUCUGAAAUUAAAUGUUUUGUGAAAAAUGAAAUGAAAUUAAAUGUUCUGAGAUAGAAUUGAAAAAAAAUAAUAAUUAAAAAAAUGAAUAACAAAAUAGAAAUUAAAAGAAUUAUUAGGGAUGAGAUGAAAAUAAAUCAAUGUAAUUGAAACAAUUCCACCUAAGAGAAAAUGGAUUGAAUAAAAAGAAAAAGGAAAUUGGAGGCUGGUUUGAUUUUUGCAUGGUCGGCACGCAACCCGAAUAUAAAAAAAAAGGAAAAUAAAGAAAGAAAAAAGAAAAUUAGUGUCAAACCCAACACAACCCAACCGAACCACCAUAUAUGUGCUGCUAAGAGAGGAAAAUGAUGUCGAAACCAAUCAAAUAAUGUGAUGGGAGCACAAUUAAAACCAUUGAAGUCAACCAAAUGCGUUGCCCGAAGGUGAUGGAGCUUCUAAUGCAUCUGGGUACGCAUUAACAACUAUAAUUUUUUUUGUACAAAAUAAAAAAUGCUUUUAUAACUAAAUAAUAAUAAUAAUAAAUAAAUUAUUAUGAAAUUACAACCAAGCCCCUAAAACCAAAGCUGAAAACAUUGGAUGUGAAGGGUAAUGGAAUAGUUAUAUUAUAAAAUAACUAAAGGCCCUUAACCAAAAGUUAUGACUAUUUACUUUUCAAUUUCAAUAUCCUAAUUUUAUUGUUAAGAUCAAUGUAAAAUUCUACAAUGCCUCUUAUUACCUUAUAAAAUAACAAAUAAAUUAAUAGAAAAAAAAAACACCACCCCAUCCUAAACCUUAGAGCUGCAAAAUUCUACCUUUCAAGUCCACGAUAUAAUGAAUUUAUUAUGUCUUGGUUCUGAAUGCAUAUGCAAUAAAAGUAUCACAAAGUUUAGAUCUUGUCUCGAAACACGGUUCAAAUUGUGUUGUAUCAAAUUUUGAGAUUUUGUUUUUACAUAAAAUUAUUAUUUUUUAACUUUUGAGAUAUAAUUUUUAAAAUUUUUUUUAAAAAUAUUUUGAUGCAUUUCUGAAAAAAGAUAAUCCAAAUUUACAAGUAAUACUUAAUAAUAUUUGGUCAAGUAAGGCCCGGCCAUAACACAUGCAGCGGGCUAUUGGGAUAGUCGGCCCGAAUUUACAAUCGUUGGGCCCAUAGGUAAGAUUAAUGAUCCACGUUCCCCCACCAGACAGAGAAACCUAGUGAAUAAUAAAAAACAAAACAAAACAAAAAGAAAGACAGACGAAGUUAAUUCUGUUUCUUUUUUCUCUCCCCCUUGAGACCAAUUGUAGGGUUUUGCCAAAAAUCUCAAAACUCCAAAGAAAUCCAAGCCAAAACCUACCCUGUCUGAUUAAGAAAACCACAAGAAUUCUUCUCUUUCUUACUUUCUGCCCAUUAACAAUGACAGACGGUUACUGGAAUCGGCAACAGCCUUCCAAUGUCCCUUCCAGCGGCAUGCUAAAACGACCUCGUUCCGACUACGGUACGUUCUGCUCUCCCUUCCUUUUGUUAAAUGCAAAAUUUAGAGUGCCAGAUUAGGAUUACUGUAUCUUUUUGUUGGAAUUAGAUCCAUAAAUUACUGUUACAAUGAAGUAUGUUGGAACUAUUGGUCGAUUUAAAAAAAAAAAAUUAAUAGAGGCGGUGCCUGCUGUUGCUACUGCUUGGUUGUCUGGUUCGAUAAUUUGUAUAUUUUUGAGAAGUAAGAUGUGGAUAGAAGUCUCAACGGAUUUGAUUUUGGGGGUCUUGCAGAUAUGCCUUCAAGCUAUGAGAUGCAGAACUACUAUCCGCGAGAUGUUGAUGAUGAUCGCACUAGGUAUGAAACUGUCAAGGACAGUAAGACUAUAGGAUCAGCAUAUGACCGCUACCUUCAGAAUGCGGUAUGGUUCUUUUCAAACCCUAUAUAUUGCUGUUUUGUUACCCCCCUGUGUAUUUGCUGAUCUACUCGUCCUUUUUUGUGAAGCAAGCUCCUACGUUUGCUUCUAGAGAAGCCAGUGCAUUGGGAGGAGCUGGGUUUGGAAGGGGUAUUGGUGGUGGAAUGAGUGGUCUUCCGAUAGCUGAUUCUGCUGUAAUGACUCGCCCUCGGUCUGCUGGUCUAGACCUGGCAUCGAAUGGUAGAGAUGUUGGUUUUGUUCGUCAGCGACCAGAGGAUAGAAUUGCUAGGUCAGAUCGUGAAAUGGCACAUCUACCUCCAGAUGCUUCCAACACUUUAUAUGUUGAAGGAUUUCCUCCUGACUGCUCAAGGAGGGAAGUAGCUCGUAUCCUUUUAAUGUCGUAGUGAUGUUGCACAAUAAUGAUACCCUUUGUCUUGCUCUUUUUAUUAGUUACCAAGGCUUUCUUUCCAACUAUGUUUUAUGUUCCUUUACUGGAUGUGAUAGAUAUAUUUCGACCUUUUGUGGGAUAUAAAGAAGUUAGACUUGUGAGCAAAGAAGCAAGACAAGUAAGUAGAUGAGUUAGAGUACUUUCUCAUACUUGGUUUAGUAAUCUGAUGCUCAAACUGGCUUUUUGGAAAGUGUGACUAGUCUUUCAUUGAAUGCAGCGUGGUGGAGAUCCUAUCAUCCUUUGUUUUGUUGAUUUUGUAAAUCCAGAAUGUGCAGCAACUGCGAUGAGUGCCUUGCAAGGUGAUGAUUUUGCCUUUUUAUCUAUCUAUAGUGAAACCGAUGCUAGGGGUUGGAGGCUUUCUUAAUACAAUGAUGUUUGCUGCUAUUGUACUUUACACUGUUGUAUAUGGGUUUGCGUGUGUAAGACUCACCUUAUUAACAUUUUUUUUCUGCUGUUCACCAAUUUACAUAUUCCUAUUACUAAGUUGGUUCUGAAGAAAUUCUUGCAUGAGAAUGAUAUGUACCAUGGCUUUGCUUUUUUUCUCCUUCCUGUAGAUGGGUUGGGGGGGGGGGCACUUUUCACCAUCCAUCUUGCCACAAUAAGAAUUGGAAUUGCAAAUAAAAGUCAUUCCAUGAUAGUAAUUUACUCAUACUUGUUUGAAAUGUCUGGAGAUGCUAACUACAUGGAUGUAAUCUGCAGGUUAUAAAGUUGAUGAACAUGAUCCUGAUUCUAGGUAUUUGAGGCUGCAGUUUUCUCGACACCCAGGCCCAAGAUCUGGCCCUAUAAGCCGUGGAAGGAGGUGAAAAUACUUGUUGCAGAAACACCUAGCUUUCAAUGCAAAACAGUUUCUUAGUUUGCAUUCAUCCACCUUUUCAGAGUGUUUAUUUAACAAUCUAUAAUCUAGAACUUGCAAGCUAGAUUGCUCAUCCUGGCUGUACUAGUUAUGUAUAAUCUUGAUCUACCAAAAUAAUGAGGGUUCAAUUAAUUGCAGGAAAUGACUUGGUAGUUUACCGAUUUUAUUUAGCAGAAAAUGUUGUGUGAUGAUUGUUGAAUCUCAAGUCAUUUACCUUUGGUGUUGGGAGUUAUUUUCUAGCGAUUUGUUUCUAAUAUUUGGAAUGUUUAAAUUCUUGGCUUUCGCUUUAUGAUUCCAUGUAAUCCUUGUGUGGUGCAAUUGAUUGAAGAUCCUUCUGGGGAUAAUUUAAGCGCGCUACUCGCGUGACAAAAGAUGAAUAGUAUUCAAUUAGGAAAUGCUUUAACUAAAUUUUUUUUUUUUUUUUAAAUAAUUGUUGAACUUUAGAACUUCUAGAGACUUGCAUGAAUGUGGUUUCCGGUUUCAUGGUUGCUAAUUUGCUGUGUUUUUACGAUAAAUGCAUUGUUUGCUGGGAAGUUGCAACCAUUGCAUAGCUACCCUAUAUUGUUGCUGCAGUCGUUUGGGUAAGUUUAAGCAUCUUUUUUUUUUUGGGUAAAGCUAUUUACUGUUUGUACUCUUCUUUUUAUGUUUGUUGAUCUGCCGCCCCUUGCUUUGGAGAAGCUCGUCUAGCAAGUUGUGGAAGAGAGAUCUUUUCUGUUUGUGUUUCAUCUUUCUUUAUGUUUAUCUGCAUGACAGACUGAUGAACUUUGUUGAUCUGUUCGUUUGGAACUGCAUCGAUCGGCAUUGCAUUAUAGGUUCGCUAUCUUUCCUUGGACAGUUAAGCACACGCUUUUUCGCCUUCCUGUCUCCACUGUCACUUCGCUUCAUUGAUUAGCAUUUUGCAUCCGGCACUCAUGGAAUGAUUCAGAACUGAUACCUUGUGAUGCUCGGACUCCUAUGGCUUUCCCCAAGUACCUUUGGUGUCUACAUGGGUACGACUCCUCCAGAACUCUGAACACGGCAGUUUUGGUUUUCAGAUACCAGUGCCGUCGUGGCAUUUUGUGUGUUUUAAUGUCCACGACGUAGAUGAAAAAAGGAGGAACGAGAAGAAGAAACAACUGGCCACAAAAUUUUUAACGCCAUCCAGUUGGAUUAAUACAUCUAAAACCUUAUUGAAAUGAAUAUGGGCUUACUUGUAGAAUUAAUUGGGUCAUGAAUUAAUGAUAUUUGGAGUGGGAAUUGUGGGCUAGCUAAAUAGCUUCAUAUCAAGAAAAAGUACUGGUCUCCAAGAAUUUUCUGUAUAUUUUGUGCGAAGUGAAAUAAUCUCGCUCCCGCAUCCAAAAUUUAAAUAAUUCCAAGCUGUCUCUUGUAAAAUCUUAAAUUUGAGAAGUCCAAAUAUCUGAUAUACGUAUAUGAGUCCGAGCAAUAUAACUUACACAGCCAACGCCUUCAUCAGGAUUAUUGACCACUUGCUCGUUAACAAAAAUUACAAGACAUUUUUUUACAAGUACCAUAGCACUAUGGAUAUGGAUCACAAUGGUGCUAUGUUUAUUUUUCUUCUCCAAAUUUUAUUUUUUAUUUCAUCCUUUCCAGGAUCAAAUUGAUGGCCGAUUUAAUUCAAUUUGUUUAGAGAGGGUAAAAUUCUAAGAUAGAGGAUUAAAAUAGAGGAAAAAACAUAGAAAAUGGGUGGCUGUUUCUAAAUUGCAUGAAAAGUUCACUUUGAUCCUCUUACUUUUCCAAUUAAUUUUUAUUUUGUUCCUUUGGUUUUUUAUUUUUUUUUAAUCAAGAUUUCAUUUUCAUUAUUCUUCAAUCCUCCGUUUGAGAGUGAAGAGAGAGUCGCUAGAUUUCAGUUAAAGAGAAAAUCUUGAUUAACAUUGAUUUUCACAAUGAAAAAACUUUAAUAUUUGUGUUAGCGAAUUUCAUUUGACAAAAAAAGUUUUGGGGUGUUUUUAGAAUUCACAUCGCUUGGAAUGAUAGAUAUGAGUUUGAAAAGAUUUUUAAAUUUUGAUUGAUUUUAAACCAAUUUUAAGGUUAUUCAAGGUCAUAAAUUGAUUUAUCAAUGUCGUAUAGUAUGUUUUUCAGGUGUUUUUGAGUUAAAGUAGAUUGAAAAUCAAAUUUUUAGAUGAAAAAAUAUUCAUGGCCUGACUUUCCAAUGAUCCUCUAGUAGUUGAAACUAGACCUGCAAAUAAUACAUUAUUUACACCAUUUUUUAUAAACAAAUUAAGGGCGCAUGGCGCGCCCUUUGCCCUUUAGUAUAAGAAAAUUAAAAGGACUGGCACACAAGGCAUGUUUUUUUUUUUUUGAUAGGCCAUGCAUGUAUGGCAACGCCCUGCCUGGCCUAUUUCGUUUGUUUUUUUUUCCCCUCUUAUUCUUCCCUCUAAAUUUUACAUUUUAAUCAAUUUAAAUAGAAUGACUAAAAAAUAAUUUAAAAUUUUUUAUUGAAUACCAUUGAAAUUCUAUUUUUUUAUGAAUAACUCUUUUUUUUAUAUUAGCAAACGUUUCUUUUUACAACUCUUCAUGAUUAUUUUAGAUUUUAUUCUAUCACUAUUUUCUUUCUUGUUUGAUUAAAGACUAUUUGACUCAAAUGAAAAAUAUUUCUUUUAUAACAUUUUUUUUAAUAUUAUCCCAUGUUUUUGCAGCCCUUCAUAAUGCUUUUGGCUCCCAAUAAUUUUUUUUACUCAUAAUGAAAAAUUAAAAAUUAUUGCUAACGAAAUACGUUGCUAAUGGUUAUAUUUCUUUUUAGCUAUCCGAUCUACGAACCGAGCCAAUGUACUAGUCCAUCUCUAUUUCAUGUUUGUAAAUUCCAAAAUUUCAACUCAAUUGCAAGUCCCAGUCCCCACUCAGGGCCUGUGUUCAACUAAGCAAUGGAACCCAUUACCCAAAUAUUGCCGAUUAUGCCUCCCAGGCCCAUCCUCGUUUAUCGGGAUCCAAUAAACCGACGUACAAAAUACAGAGGUCUGCAUGCUGGAAGGAGAGGCCAGGAAGGAAAAAAUAAAAUUGGUUUGCGUUUUUUUUUCUGAGCCGACAAUUAAUUAUCACCCUCGGGUUUGUAUUAGUGUAUGCAAGGAGACAUAAUCCACUUUCCAGAUAACGUUAAUGUGGUUUAGGAUUUGGGUAUGUUGGGAAUUUAGUUAAUUAAUCAAAUUAAUCCAUCUAGUGAAGGUGUAUUCCCAGCUAUUUGCCUAGCCAGGCAUUAUCUAAACCUUCCAAUUAAUCCUCGGCCCCCAAAGCAUGUUUGGUAAGAGCUAGUAUUACAAAUACAAUAUGUUAGGAAUUAAGUGUUUUUUUUUUGUCUUUGAAUAAUGAAUAAUGAAUAAUUAUAUUAUCAUGUCAAUAUUUUAUUCUCCAGAUUUAAGGGGGUGGGUGGAUGAUUGGCAGUAGUUUGGUGGGGUUUAGAGAUCUUUAAAUAAUAAAAUCAGUACAAUAAAUAAAAGAAAAAAUCUUAAAAUCCAAAUGGAUAUAGAUACAAUCAAUCCCUUCCCAGUUCCCACCGAUUAAUGAUUUAUCACCCUUGCCUUUACAAUGAAUCAUGCUCAAAAAGCGCCAAAAUACGUAUCCAUCAGUAACAAAACAAAGACACGUUUCCAUGUAUGCAUUGAAUCUUCAUUUUUCAAAAGCAUAUGCCUAACCAGGUGUUAAAUCUGUUGAUUAAUCAAAAAUAUUAUCUUAAAUGUGUUACAUCAAUGGAUAAGUUUUCUUUCCUUGCGAGAGAAAAACGAGAGCGAUUAAAUUGGUUUCAUGUCAUGACAGGACCGUAUCUCUGUUCGAACUCUGGUGGUUAAACCUAAACGGGUGAAUGGAAAUCAGAUAAAGAGAAUCAAUCCAUUAAUUGUUCUUUCGUGAUCACUUUACGUGUCUGCCUACAAGGCGACGUACGUCUCUAUGCGAAGAAGAAAUUACAAAGAAGGAGAAACAGUAUGCUUAAUUAUUUGUUCGUUUCUUAUUCUAUUUUUAGAGGGUACAGUAGCAACCUGGUUCCAUCAUGCAGUCUAUUUUUACAGAAGAAGAAGAGUCUCGUUAUAGAAGAUGAUAGCUCUUUUCAUUGGUAAAAGUUCUUUUAAAAGCUUAUAAAGGAAAAUAAUUUUCUCAAAAACACUAGAUUUUUUUCUCCUUCUGUGGUGCUUAUCUACGCUUGAUUCUAUGCAUGCCCUUUUCUUCUUCUUGUUUUUCUUUUUGGGAGCAAUCUAUGGCAAGUGGUUGUAUUAUUUCACUGGUUUAGAACAAUGCAAUUGAAAUAUAUCAAGUCCUGUAUCGAGAAGUUUGAACUGCUAUGUCUAUCAGCAAUAAAAAGGAGCCUCACUGGCAAAUUAUGGCGAACCAGGCCAGAAACUGAUCCCCAUUAAGUUAAGUUAUGGACUCAAUUGCUCACAAAGUCACAAUCGAUCGCUUUCAUGUUGAACUACAGGGUGAUCGUAAUUAUUACUAUUAUAACUAUAUUAUGACGAUGAACGCAUUAGUUGAAAUAAUUCAAGGUAUUUGAUUAAUUAAUUGGCAAUUAACACUUUCAUAGAGUUUAAUUUCCACGACCCUUUGGUGCGAAUCUGGAAUUUUGGAGUCUGAACAUAAUUAGGUUUCAAGAUAGACUCCAGGCUGUUUUGAUUAGGUUCAGCGAACAAUAGACAAUGAUUAGGUUAAUGAAUUGGUAUAGUUUUUCUUCUUUUUUUCACGGUCAUAAUGGCCUCAAUAACGAGAUAGUCAUGGUUUAGGUAAUGUGCUGUGAAUCAUUAACAAUUUCGAUAUAUUUACAGGCUGCAGGGAUAAGAUCAUCAAAUUGCUUUCUUUGAAAAUGAAACCCGUUAAAGUCUAGACUUUAUCCUCAAGAGAAAGAAAAUAGGAGAAGAAGAAAACUCUUGGCAUAGAAGGCAUUUAUCAUACUAUGAACACAAGAAACGUGCUCUGUUGGUAUUUUAAAAUAAAAAAGACAGGAAGACAUUUAAUUGCAGGGAUAGUAGAGAUAAAAAUAUCAAAAUAAAUAUUUUUUUGAAAUAAUUUUGUAGUAUAUAUCCCUUUCAUCUUAAUUUUCUUUAUCUCUUUUAUAUAAAAAUAAUAAUAACUAAACACAAUUUAAACAUGAUUAUUGUUUUUUUAUAAGCCAAUAAUCAUAUUAUGAUACAGCUGCUGGAAACAAGAGCAUAAAGGCAGAUAAGAAAACCCCUGCGUCCUGUACAAUGAAGAUCCCAGGUUGUGCAGAAAUGGAGAAAUGUACAAUCAUUUUAGCUUCAGGAAAAGUAAAUUGGGUGUUUUAUAAUAUAUAGGUGUAUCGUGAUAUAAUGAAAGUUGUUUUUUGAAAUAUUUUUUUAUUUAAAAAUAUAUUAUAAUAAUAUUUUUUUUAUUUUAAAAAAUUAGUUUUGAUAGUAAUAUAUUAAAAUUUACUUAACUAUUUGAAAACGUAAUACAAAAAAUUAGCUUGUUUAGAAGUAUAAUUAUGGUUUUUUUUUUUCAAAUGUUUUUUAUUUAGAAAUAUAUUAAAAUAAAAUUUUUUAUUUUUUAAAAAUAAUUUUUGACAGUAGGGAUUAAAAUGAUCCAAAACAUUAAAAAUUUAUUAAUUUAAAAUAAAAAAUAAAAAAAAUUAAUUUUUUAAAUAUUUUUAAAAUAAAAAAUAAACAUGGCUUUUCGUCUUCCCAUAACACGAACGUACAUUUCGAACUUUUAUUUAUUUCUUUAUUCACAAAACGUCAUGCGCUCCAUUUCUCCGCCACAGGCGUUAGUUCUGUCUUUCACCAACUCUUCCGUACAGAUCUGUUGUUUACUUGCUCAAAGGCACGUGAGAUGAAGUCGUGGAGAUUGAUAACUUUCUUCGCAAAUAACCAUCACACAUGUAUCCGCCCCCCUCUAAUUCACGCAUCUUUUAAACGUAAACAAAAUAUAUUUUCUGCAUUUAUUCUUUUAAAAUAUUUUAGUCAGUUUAUUUUGCAUAAAAAAAAUUAUAUUUGUUUAUAAAAAGUAUUUUUUUAUAUUGAUUUCUCUUAAAAUAUUUUACAGAAAAAAUAAUCAAUAAAAAAUAUUUUAUAAUCUAUUUUCAAACAUGAUUUAUUUUCGUAAAAAUAAUUUUAGUUUAUAAAAUAUUUUACAAAUAAUAUUUUACUUAUAAUAUCAUUUAAUUAUUCUUAUCAUCGUCAACACCACUAUCUCUUCCUUGUCCACAAGCUUCCCAUUCAUCGUUGUUAUCAUUUUUGUUUUCCACCAUUACUAUUAUUUCAUCACCACAAUCACUAUCUUCUUUUCCUUUACUAUCAUUAAAAAAAAUAUUUUAUAAGAUAUUAUUUUUGAAAAAUAAAUAUUGAAAAAUAUUUUAUGCUGAAGGGUGUUAUGGAUAUAUAGAAGAACAAUAAUAUUGCAUCUUCUUGUUAUAUGAGAGAUAAAAUUAAUUGAAAGGAGUCUUUAUUAUUCAUUUUGGUCUCCAGUUAAAAGUGUUAUAAUUGCGAAUUAAUCUAAUCCGAAGUUAAUAUUUUUUUUCUUCUUGAUUAGCUAGACUUUUAAACGUAAACAAAAUAUAUUUUUCUGCAUUUAUUCUUUUAAAAUAUUUUAGUCAAUUUAUUUUGCAUAAAAAUUUUUAUAUUUGUUUAUAAAAAGUAUUUUUUUAUAUUGAUUUCUCUUAAAAUAUUUUACAGAAAAAAUAAUCAAUAAAAAAUAUUUUAUAAUCUUCUUUCAAACAUGAUUUAUUUUCAUAAAAAUAAUUUUAGUUUAUAAAAUAUUUUACAAAUAAUAUUUUACUUAUAAUAUCAUUUAAUUAUUCUUAUCACCGUCAACACCACUAUCUCUUCCUUCUCCACAACCUUCCCAUUCAUCAUUGUUAUCAUUUUUGUUUUCCACCAUUACUAUUAUUUCAUCACCACAAUCACUAUCUUCUUUUCCUUUACUAUCAUUAAAAAAAAUAUUUUAUAAGAUAUUACUUUUGAAAAAUAAAUAUUGAAAAAUAUUUUAUGCUGAAGGGUGUUAUGGAUAUAUAGAAGAACAAUAAUAUUGCAUCUUCUUGUUAUAUGAGAGAUAAAAUUAAUUGAAAGGAGUCUUUAUUAUUCAUUUUGAUCUCCAGUUAAAAGUGUUAUAAUUGCGAAUUAAUCUAAUCCGAAGUUAAUACUUUUUUUCUUCUUGAUUAGCUAGACUUUUAAACGUAAACAAAAUAUAUUUUCUGCAUUUAUUCUUUUAAAAUAUUUUAGUCAAUUUAUUUUGCAUAAAAAUUUUUAUAUUUGUCUAUAAAAAGUAUUUUUUUUAUAUUGAUUUCUCUUAAAAUAUUUUACAGAAAAAAUAAUCAAUAAAAAUAUUUUAUAAUCUGUUUUCAAACGAUUUAUUUUUUGUAAAAAUAAUUUUAAUUUAUAAAAUAUUUUACAAAUAAUAUUUUACUUAUAAUAUCAUUUAAUUAUUCUUAUCACCAUCAACACCACUAUCUCUUCCUUCUCCACAACCUUCCCAUUCAUCAUUAUUAUCAUUUUUUUUUCCACCAUUACUAUUAUUUCAUCACCACAAUCACUACUUUUCCUUUACUAUCAUUAAAAAAUAUAUUUUAUAAGAUAUUAUUUUUGAAAAAUAAAUAUUGAAAAAUAUUUUAUGCUGAAGGGUGUUAUGGGUAUAUAAAAGAGCAAUAAUAUUGAAUCUUGUUGUUAUCUGAGAGAUCAAAUUAAUUGAAAGAAGUCUUUAUCAUUCACUUUGGUCUCCAGUUAAAAGUAUUAUAAUUGCGAAUUAAUCUAAUCCAAAGUUAAUAAUUUUUUUUUCUUGAUUAAUUAGCAUUGCUUAAGUAUAUAUUUCAAGUGGUAUAUUUAAGAGUCGGUGAUUAAAAUAAUUCAACUAGCUAGGGAACUGAACGUGACUAAUCAAAUCUACAACUGGUCAUAGCAAGAAUUUUAAAUUGGGUUACAGUUUGGUAGCACAUUAAUCCAAAAGGGAUUUUACCUUUGCAUAUAUAUAUAUAUAUAUAUAUAUAUAUAUAUAUAUAUAUAUAUAUAUUGAAAGCAAUGGUAUUAUAAAUGACUUUUAGGUGAAUUGAAAUUAAAAGCGUGUUUGGAAACGUGAUUAUGGUUAUUUUUUAAAGUAUUUUUUAUUUAGAAAUAUAUUAAAAUAAUAUUUUUUUUAAAAAAAAUAUUUUUGAUAUUAGCAUAUUAAAAUAAUCAAAAAAUAUCAAAAAAUAUUAAAUUGAAGUAGAUAAAAAAAUAAUUUUUUUUAAUUUUAAAAAAAAUAAAAAACAAACUUACCUGAUAAAUACCAUACACCAAGACAUGGAUUACAAAAAUAAAAUGAUUAUGUUUUUUUUUUUUUAAAGAAACCAACAACCUUGCUAUAAGAUGCAAUAAGGUAUUUUUUGCUUUUGGCAAGAUUAUACUGGUAUCACAGUCAAAUUGUAUAUUUAAUAUGUUAAUUAAGGUGGAUUUGAGUUGAGUUUUUUUGGUUAUCAUUGUUUUUCACUUUAUUUACCAUAUGUUAUAUUUUUUAUUUAUAUUAUUAAAUUAAUUGAGUAGAUUAAAUACGUUAAUAAUUCAAAUUCAAUUUUUUUUUUUUUGCUUUUUCUAAAACGAUUGCAUCACCUUAAUAUUUUUUUUAGGCUAAAAAAAACUGAGGCGGCAAACGAUACAGCAUGAACUAUCUAGUAAUUUCUAAGCUCAUUAAAGGCAUGCAAAAAUCAAAAUGUGGAGACAGCUUAGACUGGAGAAAGUACUUUUUUUUUUACUUCCAACUAUGAGAGAGAGGGAGGGAGGGAGGGAGAGGGAGGGAGAUAACGUAGCCGCCUGGUCCCUCAGCGAGAAGAAAAAAAAAGUCAGAGAAGUUAGGCCAUUUUUUUUUUCUUUUUUAUAGCUAGCUUCUGGCUGAGAAAUUGAUUUAGAAGUUACAUUGGCUAAAAAACAAAGGACAUAUGGAUAUAGUACAAUUAUAAGACUAUAUUCAAGAUUAGUUUGGUUCUAGAUCUGAGUCACGUAUCAGUGGUUACACUCUGUCUUUUUCUUUUUCUUUUUUAAUAGAAAAACUAAAACUACAUUGUUUUGAUAAAAAAAAACAUGUCUUUCCGUUUACUCAUGAAUUAGGUGAAGUCCCGAGCUAGCUAGUCAUCAUGAAUUAGGUGGUAAAUUAUCUGGUUGGUCCGCAGACCAAGCCAAUGUACGUAGUCUUCACAAUAAUUAAACAAAAUCUAUUCACAGUAACAUUGUUUCAAGUGAACACAUAUAGUACUUGAAUUAGUUAUUCAAUUUCCAUACCUUUCACCAAGGUUAUAAACUUCUCCAAAGUAUAUUUUACCAUGAUUGGUUUGCUGCUACGUGUUCAAGGGCAAAAACCAAAUCUAUAUAAAGAGAAGCGAGGGUUGCCUAAGAAGCAGAACAAGAUCUAUUCUGUAGUGAAGUUUGCAAAAAUGGGGUCUCCAAUGGCCUCUCUCCUUGCCACUCUUUUAGUGGCAACAAUCUCUCUCAGCUUGCCAUCAGAAAGCACAGCAGACUACAAGUACUCCUCUCCUCCACCUCCUAAGAAAUCCCCUCCACCACCACCUCCUCCUUAUCACUACAAAUCCCCACCACCUCCUCCUCCAGUGCAUUCUCCGCCACCACCAGUGCACCCUUACAAGUACAAGUCACCACCACUUCCUCCACCAGUGCACAAGCCUCCACCUACACCACCAACGCACCCUUACAAGUACAAGUCUCCACCGCCUCCUCCAGUGCAUUCUCCACCACCACCAGUGCACCCUUACAAGUACAAGUCACCACCACUUCCUCUACCAGUGCAUAAGCCACCAACGCACCCUUACAAAUACAAGUCCCCACCACCUCCUCCACCUUCACCACCAACGCACCCUUACAAGUAUAAGUCCCCACCACCUCCACCAGUGCACAAGCCUCCACCUUCACCAACGCACCCUUACAAGUACAAGUCUCCCCCACCACCUCCAGUUUACAAGUCCCCUCCACCACCUCCUCCAGUUUACAAGUCGCCACCUCCUCCUCCUCACAAGAAGCCAUACAAAUAUAAAUCUCCACCACCUCCUACUCCAGUUUACAAGUACAAGUCUCCUCCACCACCACCACCAGUACACAAGUCUCCACCACCACCUCAUUACAUUUAUGCAUCACCCCCUCCACCUCACCAUUACUAGAUCAUGGCGCUCAUAGUUUCAAGGUACAUGCACGUACGAUUAUUUUGACAAUGCCAAGUAUAUAUAUCUUAAUUAAUAAGUCUCUGAAAACAUAAUGUCAGGUCAAAAUAUUUCAGUGCAGCAUUGCAUUGAAUUAAUUGAUUACUAAGUUUUUUUUUUUCACACAAAUUAAUAUUUAUCGUUUAAAGAUGCACCGGUACUGAC